Molecule: ribosomal RNA, 247 nt
Filed under: uncultured bacterium
Lineage: Bacteria
Description: partial 16S ribosomal RNA
Rfam family: Bacterial small subunit ribosomal RNA
Source: RNAcentral
UACAGAGGGUGCAAGCGUUGUUCGGAAUUACUGGGCGUAAAGCGUGCGUAGUCGGUAUUGAGAGUCGCGGGUGAAAUCCCAGGCUUAACCCUGGAACUGCCUGCGAGACCUCAGUACUAGAGUGUGAGAGGGAUAGUGGAAUACCAGUGUAGCGGUGAAUGCGUAGAGAUUGGGUGGAACACCGGUGGCGAAGGCGGCUAUCUGGCUCACAACUGACGAUCAGGCACGAAAGCGUGGGAGCAACAGG